RNAcentral lists this non-coding RNA (270 nucleotides) under Lachnospiraceae bacterium. RNAcentral describes it as "T-box sequence". It matches the Rfam family "T-box leader". Rfam says of the family: Uncharged tRNA acts as the effector for transcription antitermination of genes in the T-box leader family. The record is from RNAcentral. Lineage: Bacteria; Bacillati; Bacillota; Clostridia; Lachnospirales; Lachnospiraceae.
AGAAAUGCUAUGACAAGGAGGAGUACAUAAUAUUCUGAUGCCAAGAGAGAAGAUGGACGGUGGGAGUCUUCGUGAUGAAGUUAUGGAAGUAGCCUUUGAGCAGUGGACCGAAAGGACAGUUAUCUGAUCCGAGUAGACUUCAACGCAUUCCCAGCGUUAUAUGGGAGCGAUAUCGGAAGUGCGCUUUAGCAGGAUUCCCGUAUCGGCAGAGAGCAAAGAGGAGACUCUUUGAAUUUAGGUGGUAACACGGAUGCAUUAUUCGCCCUAAGC